This 419-nucleotide ribosomal RNA is filed under the name uncultured bacterium. RNAcentral describes it as "bacterial SSU rRNA". It matches the Rfam family "Bacterial small subunit ribosomal RNA", at positions 356 to 773 of the family's 1533-position model. The record is from RNAcentral.
GAGGAAUAUUGGUCAAUGGGCGGGAGCCUGAACCAGCCAAGUCGCGUGAGGGAGGAAGGUCCUACGGAUUGUAAACCUCUUUAGCCGGGGAGCAACGUGCGCCACGUGUGGCGCAGUGAGAGUACCCGGAGAAUAAGCAUCGGCUAACUCCGUGCCAGCAGCCGCGGUAAUACGGAGGAUGCGAGCGUUAUCCGGAUUUAUUGGGUUUAAAGGGUGCGCAGGCGGCGCGAAAAGUCAGCGGUAAAAGUUCCGGGCUCAACCCGGUGACGCCGUGGAAACUUUCGAGCUGGAGUUCGUGCGAGGGAGGCGGAAUGCGUUGUGUAGCGGUGAAAUGCAUAGAUAUGACGCAGAACCCCGAUUGCGAAGGCAGCUUUCCAGAACGCGACUGACGCUGAGGCACGAAAGCGUGGGGAGCGAAC